AAAGUUUUAGUAUAUGUUAUAGUAUAGUUUAUUGUCAAUAAACAGGUUGAUAGCUUUA
Molecule: transfer RNA, 58 nt
Filed under: Oesophagostomum quadrispinulatum
Lineage: Eukaryota; Metazoa; Nematoda; Chromadorea; Rhabditida; Strongylidae
Description: transfer RNA-Asp
Source: RNAcentral